This 432-nucleotide ribosomal RNA is filed under the name uncultured bacterium. Its description in RNAcentral is "bacterial SSU rRNA". It matches the Rfam family "Bacterial small subunit ribosomal RNA", at positions 917 to 1350 of the family's 1533-position model. The record is from RNAcentral.
GGGCCCGCACAAGCGGUGGAGUAUGUGGUUUAAUUCGAUGCAACGCGAAGAACCUUACCAGGGUUUGACAUCCUGCGAAUCUCUUGGAAACAGGAGAGUGCCUUCGGGAACGCAGUGACAGGUGGUGCAUGGCUGUCGUCAGCUCGUGUCGUGAGAUGUUGGGUUAAGUCCCGCAACGAGCGCAACCCACGUCUUUAGUUGCCAGCAUUUAGUUGGGCACUCUAGAGAGACUGCCGGUGAUAAACCGGAGGAAGGUGUGGAUGACGUCAAGUCAUCAUGCCCCUUACAUCCUGGGCUACACACGUACUACAAUGCUACGGACAAAGAGCAGCAAGUUCGCGAGGACAAGCAAAUCUCAUAAACCGUGGCUCAGUUCAGAUCGUAGGCUGCAACUCGCCUACGUGAAGGAGGAAUCGCUAGUAAUCGCAGGUC